Molecule: non-coding RNA, 21 nt
Filed under: Arabidopsis thaliana (thale cress)
Lineage: Eukaryota; Viridiplantae; Streptophyta; Magnoliopsida; Brassicales; Brassicaceae
Source: RNAcentral
UAAGAUGGUGGGACACUGGUU